GUCCAUGCCGUAAACGUUGGGCACUAGGUGUGGGGACAUUCCACGUUUUCCGCGCCGUAGCUAACGCAUUAAGUGCCCCGCCUGGGGGAGUACGGCCGCAAGGCUAAAACUCAAAGGAAUUGACGGGGCCCGCACAAGCGGCGGAGCAUGCGGAUUAAUUCGAUGCAACGCGAAGAACCUUACCAAGGCUUGACAUGAACCGGAACGGCGCAGAGAUGUGUCGGCCACUUGUGGCCGGUUUACAGGUGGUGCAUGGUUGUCGU
This 263-nucleotide ribosomal RNA is filed under the name uncultured bacterium. RNAcentral describes it as "partial 16S ribosomal RNA". It matches the Rfam family "Bacterial small subunit ribosomal RNA", at positions 793 to 1055 of the family's 1533-position model. The record is from RNAcentral.